This 2471-nucleotide unclassified non-coding RNA is filed under the name Hevea brasiliensis (rubber tree). Lineage: Eukaryota; Viridiplantae; Streptophyta; Magnoliopsida; Malpighiales; Euphorbiaceae. The record is from RNAcentral.
UAAUUAAAAUUAGGAAAAUUAUUAAUGGAAAUUAUGUGAAUUAAAGACAACGAAAAUUUCCCAUGUAUGACUGAAAAGUAAAUGGAAAUGUCUAUCUGUAUAACGUUUGGAUAGAAUAAUUUCUGCUGCCGAGGCUACGGCAAUAAAGACUGUUAAAGAAGGGGCUGAAGUGAAAGUCCAGAGAGUUAGCACUGUUGCCGAAUGAUGAUCACCUUCAGGUUGCUUCUUUGAUCGGAAAGAGGAGUCACUUUUUUGAUUGAACAUGAUAGUAAGAGUUUCUUCCCACUUGUAUGGUUGGAUGAUGACUGGUGAGGGUGACUGUAAGAGAUAACUGGAUGCAGUGCUCCAAGGAAUUAUUUUCUUAGUGGAUAAUGUUUCUAAGACUACGUUGCAGCUUUUAAAUCCACUCAUAAUAUACGUGUCGUCGUGGAUUUCCCAAUUAGGAUUGUCACAUAGCGAGCUCGUAAUUGAAAUUUGGAAGGGACCAGUGAAUGUUACGAGAGUUUGAAGUUUUAAACAGUUGAAGCUCGACUUUUUAUUCUUAUCACUGUUCAUAUCAUCGUCAAUGGCUGAAGCAACCAAGAGGUAUGCAGUGGUUACAGGAGCAAACAAGGGGAUUGGGUUUGAAAUUUGCAGGCAGUUAGCUUCAAACGGGAUUGUGGUUGUAUUAACAGCCAGAGAUGAGAAGAGAGGCCUUGAAGCUUUUCAAAAACUCAAAGACUCUGGUUUCUCUGAUCUUCUUGUGUUUCAUCAGCUUGAUGUGGCUGACGCUGCCAGUAUUGCUGCUCUUGUUGAUUUUAUUAAAACUAAAUUCGGAAAGCUUGAUAUCAUGGUGAACAAUGCUGGCGUUCUGGGAAUCAAAGUUGAUGGUGAUGCUUUCAUAACCGAGCCUGGUAAGGUGAGUUUCUAUUAAUUAGCAUACUUAAUGAAGCUCAAAAGAGGGGUAAUUUAAUUGAUGGUCAGCGUGGAGAUCAAUGCUAUUACAGUCCCUGACAAGUUUGAUGCCCACAAUUGUGUAAGGCUGAGACGUUUUUGUCCACCUUGCUUUGAACAUUUUCUGUAAAUUUCUAGUGGAUACCAGUUAUCCUUUUCAAUCUGAAGAAAAACCUCAUAGAUACAUCCCACUAGUGUAUACCACUGAAUUGCUGACAAUUUAAGUUUGGUAUGAUUUCUAGAUCAAGAUUUUCUGAAACAGAACUGUAAUUUUAAGUGCUGUUUGGUUUGCUAGACAGGCAGGGGAAACCAUUAACUGAUGCUGCUGUACAUUUGGUUCUAACAAUGCAUGUAACUAGAAUGAUGAUUAAGUUUCUUUCAUUGAUGCAGGAAGGUGCAAGUAUCAAUUGGCAUAAAACUCAUCAAACAUACGAAUUAGCUGAAGAAUGCCUAACAAUAAACUAUUAUGGUGCCAAAAGAAUGGUUGAGGCACUUAUUCCCCUACUCCAGUUGUCUGAUUCACCAAGGAUUGUUAAUGUUUCAUCCUCCGCCGGGACAUUGAAGAAAAUACCGAAUGAAUGGGCUAAAGACAUGUUAGUUGACGUUGACAACCUUUCAGAAGAGAGAAUUGAUGAAGUGUUAAGCAAGUAUCUGAAAGAUUUUAAAGAGGGUUCACCAGAAAGCAAUGGAUGGCCUGCUUUCAUCUCUGCCUAUAGACUCUCAAAAGCAGCUCUGAAUGCCUACACAAGGAUCCUAGCCAAGAAGUUCCCAACUUUUUGUAUCAAUUGUGCCUGCCCUGGCUAUGUCAAAACAGAUAUAACCUUCAAUUCGGGACUUUUAUCUGUGGAAGAAGGGGCUGAUAGUAUUGUGAGAUUAACACUGUUGCCUAAUGAUGGUCCUUCUGGUUGCUUCUUUGAUCAGAAAAAGGAGUCACCUUUUUGAUUGAACAUGAUAGAUCUCCAUAGACAAAAGUAUACAUAGUAAGAGUUUCUGUGUGUUUUGAAUAGUAUAGUUGGAGAAUAAUCUCAGACUCUGUAUCAUAAAGUCUAAAGGAACACCGGUAUCCAGCUCAGAAUGUAUGUGGAAUAGCAUGCCAUGUAUCAUAAGUUUCUUGUCAUGUGUUAUGCAUCUAUUCAGUGUAUACCAAUGAAUGGGCUAGGGGAAUGCUAAGCGAUGCUGAUAGUCUUCAGAGGAUAUAAUAGAUAAGAUUUUGAGUAAAUUCCUGAGAUAUUUCAAGGAGGAUUCUUUAGAAACCGAAGACUGGCCUACAUUUAUGUCAGCCUAUACAAUCUCCAAAGCGGCAAUGAAUGCUCGCACGAGGAUUCUAGCAAAAGAGUACCCCAAUUUCUCCAUCAACUGCAUAUGUCCUGGCUCUUUGAAAACAGAUAUAACUAACUAUAAGGGCAUGUUUUUGAUUGAAGAAGGAGCCGCAUAUCCUGCGAGAUUGGCGCUGCCGCCUCAUGGCAGACCUUCUGGGCAUGAAUUUAAUUAACUGUUAUCAUUUAUUUGUUAAUAUUUUUUAGUGGCUUAUAAUUUCA